This 2008-nucleotide long non-coding RNA is filed under the name Sus scrofa (pig). RNAcentral describes it as "lncRNA (ENSSSCG00030044497.1)". Lineage: Eukaryota; Metazoa; Chordata; Mammalia; Artiodactyla; Suidae. The record is from RNAcentral.
AUGGACUGGGAGAUGUGUGUUCCAGAACGAAGGAAAAAGGGUAGCAGAGUCCUGUCGUCAAUUUUCUUAAGGGAUUUGUGGCAUGAGGACCACUUGGAAUGAUGUAAGCACAUGCUGCCUUAUCAAUGCCUUCAAUCCAGCGGCUGUGGAAACUGGGUAAAAAAACGUACAACUUUUCAGAGCAUCUGAAGACAGAAAGGAAAGACAAGAAGAAACUGUAAACUGUUCAGAUAGCUGGGGACAGUGGGCAUCCUUAUAUUUAACUCUCAUCGCAAGUUUCUCUGUUCCUUGUAAACUGAAUGAGCUUCAAGAGUCCUCAUUUGGCCAUGUAGCUUUAAAAUAAAAGGCAAUAACCUGAGGAUUUUGAUUGGGUCUCUGCUCAGACCAACCUAAAAGAACAUAAGAUUCCACAUAUAAUUGAUAUCAUAUCCAAGGAAAACCCUAAUUGGAAAAGAUACAUGCACCCCAAUGUUCAUUACAGCACUGUUUAUGAUAACCAAAACAUGAAAGCAACCUAAAUGUCCAUCAACAGAGGAAUGGAUAAAGAAGAUGUGGCACAUAUAUGAAAUACAUAAAUGAAAUACUACUCAGCCAUAAAAAAUAAUGAAAUAAUGCCAUUUGCUACAACAUGGUUGGACCUAGAGAUGAUCAUAGUGAGUGAAGUCUGGACAAAGCUCCCAGGUGACAAUGAUGGGCCUUGUUGGUGUGCAGUGCUGGUGGAACAGUGAGUACAGAGGAGAGGGCUUGUGGUCUGUGUGUUUCACUGCAGGAUACAAAUCCUGCAGCCGAAUCUGGCAACUAUUAUGAGGCUGAAAUAAGCACAUAUAGUCACCGAACAAAGCCACCAAAUUAUGUGUUUAACAUAAUAAUAAUUAUAAAAGCUUUAUAGGCAUCAUUUUGAACUAUCUACUGCCAUGAGUCCCGAGGGCUUCCUUCAACUCUGGGGAACACUGAAAAAUGAACAGUGACAGGAAGCUGGGGUGGAGAGCGGGCUCAGCCAUUAGUUUUUUUUGUGUGUGUGAGCAAUUGUUUUAAAGUUCAAAUGCAAUACUCACUGUAUCAUUUGUCCCCACAAAUUACCCCUUAGAUGGUUUACUACGAGUGCCAGCUUCUCUAGGGUACCUUCAGGAUUUUUACAAGUGGGCCCAGCAAACAAUGAUUAUUCUUCUUCAAGAAACUAUCCAGAGUGGCUUGUUACAUGACAGACAUGUGGUUUGAGUUUUGUUGUAAAGGCAGAACAAAGGAUCUGAGAGUGUUUCUUUUCAUUAUUGGAGCUGUGUGGCUCUGGGGGAACACGAGAUAGUUCAUUAUUCAAAUGAGAAUUUUUUUUUGCCUUUCAUUUUCGGUUUUAUUUCUGUAUAUCCAUGACAUUUCAGCAAGCAAGCUGCCUCCUCCAGAAGCACCAUCUGCUUUUCUUUUCAACUGUGACACCAUCUGAGAGAAUACCUUCUCACUCUUAGAAAUACAUGUGGGGUGAGGGGAAUGGUGUUGUCAAUUAUAUAUAUGGUUACGUAUGAAUAUAUACACAUAUAGGUAUGUAUCUCUCUGUGUGCAUGUGUACUCUUUUGCUUGUGUUAACACUAGAGCACAGAUGUACAAUCAAGAAAUUUGGUUUCAGUAAGAUAACCAAGCAAACAUUUCCAACCCAACUUUCUCUCAUGUCUCAAAAUCCUUCUCAGUGCAAUAGGAUGUCAAUUUCAUGAGCACAGGGAUUUUUGUCCAUUUGUUUAUUCCUAUAUUUCUGGCAUCUAAGAGAGUGUCUUGUGGGAGUUCCCCUCAUGGCUCAGCAGUAAAUGAACUCGACUAGGAUCCAUGAGGAUGAGGGUUCGAUCCCUGGCCUCGAUCAGUGAGUUAAGGAUCUGGCAUUGCCAUGAGCUAUGUUGUAGGUCACAGACAUGGCUCGGAUCCCAUGUUUCUGUGGCUGUGGCAUAGGCUGGCAGCUGUAACUCCCUCUGAUUUGACCCCUAGCCUGGAAGAGAAAAAAAAAAAAAAAAAAAAAAAAAAAAAG